Molecule: transfer RNA, 73 nt
Filed under: Candidatus Brocadiia bacterium
Lineage: Bacteria; Pseudomonadati; Planctomycetota; Candidatus Brocadiia
Description: tRNA-Thr
Rfam family: tRNA
About the family: Transfer RNA (tRNA) molecules are approximately 80 nucleotides in length. Their secondary structure includes four short double-helical elements and three loops (D, anti-codon, and T loops). Further hydrogen bonds mediate the characteristic L-shaped molecular structure. tRNAs have two regions of fundamental functional importance: the anti-codon, which is responsible for specific mRNA codon recognition, and the 3' end, to which the tRNAs corresponding amino acid is attached (by aminoacyl-tRNA synthetases). tRNAs cope with the degeneracy of the genetic code in two manners: having more than one tRNA (with a specific anti-codon) for a particular amino acid; and 'wobble' base-pairing, i.e. permitting non-standard base-pairing at the 3rd anti-codon position.
Source: RNAcentral
GCUCCUGCAGCUCGACCGGCCGAGCACCCGUUUCGUAAACGGGAGGUUGUGGGUUCGAAACCCACCGGGAGCU